GUAGUGACUCAGUGGUAAAAUAUCUGCUUGGAACGCAGAAUGUCCCAGGUUCAAUCCCAGAUAUCUCUA
This 69-nucleotide transfer RNA is filed under the name Sphaerodactylus townsendi. RNAcentral's name for it is "tRNA-Ser". Lineage: Eukaryota; Metazoa; Chordata; Lepidosauria; Squamata; Sphaerodactylidae. The record is from RNAcentral.